ACCUAAUGACACUGAUAUUAAAUUUAUUUUUUCAUUUUUACGAUCUACUGCUUAAAUUUUGAAAAUUUUCAAAACUAUUUUUGUUAUUUCAGUUUUAUUUUUUAACAUCCUUUACAAUAGUUUUCUCUAAGAACAGAAUAUGAUGUAAUAAGUAAUUUUGAUUUUGUUUGAUAAAUUUUAAAAUUUUAUACUAUAAGAUAUAAAAAAGCUGAUAUUUUAAUAAAGCUUUCGGUAAGAUGGUAGCUUACUGAUUGUGGAGCGUCGCGUCGCAUCGAAUACUCCUGCCGACGAUUGUAGCGGCCGAUUCUAAACUGCCGGAUUAUAUCCAACGGAAACGGCCGAUAUGUAGCCUGAGAAUGGAAAUACAUGAAAAUUUUUUUCCCGACUGUACUAACGGGUUGUUGUCGGCGAAUUUCUGGUUUUUGAGCAUUUUUUUUUUUCUCUUUUUUUGUUUUGUUUUUGGGCCCUCGCGAAUAUAGCGAACGCGGCUUCCGACUGCUCCUUCGAAACCGGCGUUUCCAUGGAAUUUCGACCUCCGAAAAACGGGUUUCUGUCCCGUUUGGGAGCGGGCUUUUUCGGGCCCGCAGGAAUGGCGGACGCGGCCCCCGACAGUUCCUUCGGACCCCAGAACCGGCGUUUCCGCGGAUUUCUUACCGCCGAAAGCCCGGGUUGUGUGCCCGUCUGGACUCAUGCACGCAAAAGAUCCGGCCGCAACAGCGGAUCGCGGCGUGGCGCGCAAUCGGCAAGAACUGGGCCAGAGAGAGGCCCGGAUUGCGCAUGCGCCACAGACGGCCUGAACGACGCAUAGGCCGACUGAAAUAGCUGCUCUGAAGAGAUACUGUCAAGCAGUCCAAAUGGCGGAGUAGGUUAGGUGACGGGACGGCAUAGCCGAGGCUAGACAUAAGGGAUUUUUUCCAUGCAUAGUUGCGCGGCAGAUGGCAAACUCGGAGCUGGAGAAUGAGGUACGGGGGUGAUGGGGAGAUGUUAGGGCGCAAUGUCAGGAUGCAACAUCGCAGGAGGGUGCCGUGCGGGAG
Molecule: long non-coding RNA, 1034 nt
Filed under: Androctonus crassicauda
Lineage: Eukaryota; Metazoa; Arthropoda; Arachnida; Scorpiones; Buthidae
Source: RNAcentral